CACUGUUUGAACUUUAGUAUUUUUCUUUCUUGUGAUAUGCAUGUGUUUUUUGUGGAUAUUUUAUUUGUCUGAUGGUUCUUUCUUUUGCAUGUUUUGGAAUUUUGUACUUUUACAUAGUUGAGUCCAAGAAGAAGUUUUGGUGCUGCAAGUAAACCUCAAGGUGAGAUUGUUUGGCUAAACAACAUGAUUGACAUAUGUAUUUAUGAAGCACCAGCACAUACACUGGACACGACACUAACACAUAGACGCCAAUAAUAAUUUGAGAAAAUUGAAGUGCUUAAAUGUAAACCAUGGGUCAGUGUCAUACACCAGAAUCCAGAUAUGUUCAGUGUUAUCUGAUAAUUGAGUUUUAAGUUUAAUGUCUCUAACAGUGAAGUUUUAUUGAAAUGCAGUUAUAAAAGCUGUGCUAUAUAAAGACGUAGAAAUUUCUGAGACCAAGAAGGUUGCUGGACUAAAAGGUAAAUUGAAUAAGGUUGUUCUGGCUUAUAGUGGUGGCUUAGACACAUCGGUUGUUGUCCCCUGGCUGAGGUAUAUAAAUAUUAUUUUAUUUUGUUUUGUUCCUUUUCAAAUUCUCACAAUUUAGAUUUCUAUUUAAUUUAACAAUAUUUGAUGUUUAUUUAUAUUUCAGAGAGAACUAUGGCUGUGAUGUUGUUUGCUUCACUGCUGAUCUAGGCCAAGUAUGUUCUAAUCUGUACAUAAAUAUGAUAAAUAGUCUCUAAUGUAUAUAAAAUCCUUCAAUUUAGUCCCUGCUAUUAAGAUUCAGAUGUCAAAGACUAAAUUGCAGGAUUUCAUACACUUUAGAAACUGAAUUGACUGAUGUCAUUUACUUUAAUUGCUGCAUGCUUGAUUAACAAAUGCAAAUUUUCUUAGGGGGCAAGUGAAUUGGAAGGUUUAGAAGAGAAGGCAAAAGCCAGCGGAGCUUCUCAGUUAGUCGUGAAGGAUUUGAAGGAGGAAUUUGUUAGGGAUUAUGUAUUCCCUUGCCUGCGUGCCGGUGCAAUUUAUGAGAGGAAGUAUUUGCUUGGAACUGCAAUAGCUCGCCCUGUAAUUGCAAAGGUACAAUUCUGCUUUGGUUCUUAGCUUGCUAAGUUAAUUAAAAGCAGUAAUGUCAACCCUUAUGCUUUUAGAUUGAUUUUUUUUUUGCAUUAAAUCUCUAUUCAUGAAGCUAUUUUUUUUAGUUGUUCGGAGUUGGCCCAAGGGUACUGACACUUGCUAUGAGCCUCUAACCCACUCCGCUCAACUCCUACAUAGCUCACCUCCGUUAAGAGUCUCAUAUUGGAGGAGAUCUAGUCUGAAAAAGUGUUGUGAGAGACAUCUCUCACCUUAUAAGUCGAUUUUGUAGGGUUGUCGUUCAUGUUCCAGACAGGGACCCAACCCAUCUGCUAAGAUGGUAUCAGAAUAUUUCCAACAUCUGUUGUUGGCCUGCCCAAAUAGUUCACACUCCAAUGAAAUUUUUCCUUAAUUGCAGCCCCAGCCAGUUUUGUAAGGUUGAGUCAGACCCAACUCAAAUUCUAAGAACCUCCGUUUUGAUAUCUAUAAAAAUUGUACAUAGAAGAUACUAUCUCAUAAUUUGUUCACUCUAAGGCCUCACCUAACUUUAGAUCUUACCUUCCCUUAGGCGGCUAGCCCUGUGUUACCUCUCAGUAUCACUUUCAUAUUUUACAAGAAUCAUAAUGACAAUCAUUAUGUUCACUCUUCUGCUAAUGACACGUUCCGAAUUUCACAUGUCUAUUCUCUUCCGUUUGUUCUCAACAUUUGUGCAACCUUCUAUCUAGUAUUGAUGUCUACUGACUUGAUAGGCUAUGGUGGAUAUUGCCAAUGAAGUUGGAGCUGAUGCUGUCUCGCAUGGUUGUACAGGGAAAGGAAAUGAUCAGGCAUGUAUUAUUUACAAUUAGGCUCACACACCAAUUAAUCAUGCCAAUUAUUUUCUUCUAACGUGUUCGAUUUAUGAUUCUUAAGGUUCGAUUUGAACUCUCCUUUUUUGCUCUGAAUCCCAAGUUAAAUGUCGUGGCUCCAUGGAGGGAGUGGGAUAUUACAGGGAGAGAAGAUGCUAUUGAGUAUGCUAAGAAGCAUGAUGUACCGGUUCCUGUAACCAAAAAAUCCAUAUAUAGCAGGGAUAGGAACCUUUGGCACAUAACUCAUGAGGUAGGUUUUCAAGUUAUCUUAAUUGCAGCUCUCAAUCUAAUUGAAAGUAACCAAUACUAUGUUUUAUGAUUUGUUGUCACGACAUUUUUUUUCUUCCCUCAUUUAAGAUUUCGUUCAAAAGUGAAGACAUUUUCUCUUAUACGCUUCCAAUUUGUGACAAUGAAGGGUGAUGUUUUGGAAGAUCCAGCAAAUGAACCUAAAAAGGAUAUGUACAUGUUGACUGUAGACCCAGAGGAUGCUCCAAACGAGCCAGAGUAAGCAUGUUGUAAAUGACUUUAUUUAUAACCAUAUUUUUUAAAAAGGCCCAUAAGUUAUGGGCCAUUGAGGCAUCAUUAUUCGUUAGUUAUAUUUGAAUGUGAUUAUCAAGGAUCGCAACAUGGCUGCAACCAGCCUUAACCGUAACAGGACCACGAUUAAGGCUGCAUCAGCCACAUUUGACCAUGCUUCUUAGUGAUAUCAAAGAUAGUGACGCGGCCACAACCAUUAAUGCAAAUUAAAACAUUCAUUAUAUCCAGAAUUAGCUCUCGUUUAGUUUCACUACUUACUUGGAAAGUGUGUCGCAGAUAUGUGGAGAUUGGAUUUGAGUUAGGCAUUCCAGUAUCGCUGAACGGGAAGAGGCUUUCUCCAGGAAAUUUGGUUGCUGAGCUGAAUGAGAUAGGUGGAAGGCAUGGAAUAGGCCGUGUCGACUUGGUUG
RNAcentral lists this long non-coding RNA (2836 nucleotides) under Medicago truncatula (barrel medic). Its description in RNAcentral is "long non-coding RNA (MTRU_LNC000914)". Lineage: Eukaryota; Viridiplantae; Streptophyta; Magnoliopsida; Fabales; Fabaceae. The record is from RNAcentral.